RNAcentral lists this unclassified non-coding RNA (146 nucleotides) under soil metagenome. RNAcentral describes it as "partial internal transcribed spacer 1". The record is from RNAcentral.
UAAUAAGUGUUCUAUGGCACUUUUUAAAUCCAUAUCCACCUUGUGUGCAAUGUCAGUCGAUCUUCUUCAUUGGAGAUCGACCAAACAUCAACCUUUAUCUUUUAACUCUUUGUCUGAAAAAUAUUAUGAAUAAACAAUUCAAAAUA